UCCAUUUUUUUCUGUUUUUACUCCUAGUUCUAAUCCGACUUCAAGAAAAUGUCCCUAUUACCAAAUCAACUUAUUUCUUCCGAAAAAUAUCUCAAAGAAUUUAGAAGAUAAAUUCUACUCAAGUGGUGAGAGUCAAAUUUCACUUACCUUUGUUCUUAGUGAUGGUGUUAAUCUGAUUGAUGGAUUCCUCCCUUGUUCUGCUCUCGAUUCCACUGCUAGCUGAUUAAUCUGAUUGAACAAAUCACACAAAAACUCCCUCUCGGUUUACUUUAGCUACGAAUUUUCUUCCUCCUCCUCUUCGCCUUGUAGCUCGAUGCCCUCUUUUAAAGUGGAGGAACCAUCAAAACCAUUAAGGAUGGCAACAAAAUUACUAAAUUAAAUAGAGAUUACAAAAUAUUUUUUGAUAAUUGAGGCAUAAUCA
RNAcentral lists this long non-coding RNA (421 nucleotides) under Carica papaya (papaya). Its description in RNAcentral is "long non-coding RNA (CPAP_LNC001932)". Lineage: Eukaryota; Viridiplantae; Streptophyta; Magnoliopsida; Brassicales; Caricaceae. The record is from RNAcentral.